This 1937-nucleotide long non-coding RNA is filed under the name Homo sapiens (human). RNAcentral describes it as "HSALNT0362396". The record is from RNAcentral. Lineage: Eukaryota; Metazoa; Chordata; Mammalia; Primates; Hominidae.
CUGGCUUUGUACGUAUCAGUUCAAGCUUGAAUUUGACCUGUCAGCUUCCUCUAUACAGAAUGUUAGCCACUUUGACCUAAACCUGCUGAUUUAAUUCUUAGCUCUUGCCUACCUGCACAUGUUGGAUUAUCUUUUAGUUAGAAAAAGAAACAGGAAAUCACAUACUCAUGUAAACUAUGUAAUUGAGCACAUGCAAUGCUAUAGAGUGAGGAGAGGGAGGACAGUGGCUUUUUCUCCUCAUUUUCUGUUCCUAGACCCCACAACAGAUGAUCUCAUCAUACAGGUCUUCUACUCCUUAAGAUAGACAAGAUUGAUGAAAGACUGGAAAUGACUUUGCCUGGACCAUGAUUCAGCGACACUGUCCCUGUGGCAAGACUAUUGGCCAGGCUCAAACGCAGUGGCUGAUCCUCACUGACUCCUCUUCCUAAGGUUGUUGUACUAGGAGCAUCUCCUAACACUACACGGACACAAUUCAAUGACAAAAAUCAGAGAAGGAAAACAAAACAAAACUUCUGGAAUGCCUCUUCAUCUGUACUGUAUCCUUGACAGAAUUCCUAUUGAGUGGUUUUCAUAUUUAACAACAGAUCCAAUUUUGUCAAAUAAAUUCUUACAUGGAACUCCAAUCCGUUGAAUUAGAAGAAAAGUUAGUAUAAGUUAUUUCAAGUUUAAUAGUUUUAGUUGUUAAUUUAUUUCUUAAUUUUGUCUUUCAGGGCACAGUGUUGAGAAAUCAUUUACACAGACAAAAAAUUGCAACUGAUUUUUAACUAUUUCUGCGUGCUAUCUUCCUACAUUUUCCAAUUAAAUUCUGAUAGUUCGACAAGAACUGAUUUCUAUUUUUCAAAAUUAUAUCACUAACUUACCAAUAUUCAACUAGUGCUUGCUUUCAAUGAUUGGUUAAUAUUGGCUCUGAAAACGUUCCUUUGCCAACAUAAAUGUUCAUUAAGAAUUUUUCAAAAAUGUCAAAAAAAUACCACCUCAGUUUCAACUAUGAAGUAACAAUUUAAUAUUUCAAAACAGUCAUAUUUAUUUUUCCUUGCUGUUAAAAUCAAACUUUAGCUUCAAUUUUAAGGCGGGCAUUCUAUAUACAUUUAAAAGUAGGUAAUUUUGUGAGUGUGAAUUGGACUUACUUAGAUUACUAAAAUUAGCAGCAAAAUAUAUAACCUGUUUCCACAACAUCUGGAGUUUAAGUAUUAACACUGUAAAAUAUUAUCUGAAUUUCUCAUAUUUUAAACUAUCAUAUGGACAAUAGAACAGAUUCCACUAUAAAAAUAAUUUUUAAAUCACUUCAAGUAGGAUUACAUGUAACUCUGAAUGAAAUGCAGUUAAAACAUAAAACAUAAUAAAAAUAUAACUAGUGUAGUGUUUGCUGACAGUAUUUGCCUAGCAAAUUUCCUUAAUCAGGGAUCUUUUUAAUGAAACACAAUGAUGGUUCAUACAUAAUAAAAGUCUCAUACGUGCUUUUUUGCUUAGAUAGUUUUCAAAUUUUUAAUACAGCUUUCAUUACACUUUUGAUACCUUACUUGAUAAAAUAUUUUUAAACGCAAAUGCUUAAACACUGUAAAUAUUUUUUCUUAAUUUUUAUGAUUACCUGGAAAAUAAUGAGAACAGUAACAUCUGAAGCCUCUUCCACCUGAAUGAUGAAGAUGUCAAAUAUUCUCAGCCUCAAAUUAAUGUGUCAAGUACAUUGGAUUUGUAUCUUUGUGUUCUUUCCUAUCUUCUUAAAAAAUUGUGCUAAUUACAUUUUCAAAAAUUGUUGUUUUUCUAACAUAUUGGUUACAAUAUCAAUAUAUGUGGCUUAAUAAAAUAGUCUCUGAGAACAUGUGCUUUUCUGAAUGUGUCAGGUGGCAGCUUGCUUUUAACAAUAUUGUAAGUUUUUAUAAUCAGAUUUAAAUUGUGUUUAUCUAAAAUAUUUAUGAACAUUGAAUUUAUGGUGAACA